This 288-nucleotide signal recognition particle RNA is filed under the name Aotus nancymaae (Ma's night monkey). RNAcentral describes it as "Metazoan signal recognition particle RNA (ENSANAG00000014611.1)". It matches the Rfam family "Metazoan signal recognition particle RNA". From Rfam's summary of the family: The signal recognition particle (SRP) is a universally conserved ribonucleoprotein. It is involved in the co-translational targeting of proteins to membranes. The eukaryotic SRP consists of a 300-nucleotide 7S RNA and six proteins: SRPs 72, 68, 54, 19, 14, and 9. The record is from RNAcentral. Lineage: Eukaryota; Metazoa; Chordata; Mammalia; Primates; Aotidae.
GCAGUGGGCGUCUAUAGUCCCAGCUACUCGGGAGGCUGAGGUGGGAGGAUGGCUUGAGCCCAGGAAUUCUGGGAUGUAGUGCACUAUGCUGAUUGGGUGUCCACACUAAGUUUGGCAUCGAUAUGGUGGCCUCUGGGGAGCAAGGGACCACCAGGUGGCCUAAAGAGAGGUGAACUGACCCGGGUCAGAAAUGAGCAGGUCAAAACUCUUGUGCUCAUCAGCAGUGGGAUUGAGCUUGUGAAUAGCCACCAUACUCCACACUGGACAAUAUAGCAAGACCCCAGCUCU